CCUACGGGUGGCUGCAGUGGGGAAUAUUGGACAAUGGGCGAAAGCCUGAUCCAGCCAUGCCGCGUGUGUGAAGAAGGCCUUCGGGUUGUAAAGCACUUUCAGUGGGGAAGAAAGCCUUGGGGCUAAUACCCUCGAGGAAGGACAUCACCCACAGAAGAAGCACCGGCUAACUCCGUGCCAGCAGCCGCGGUAAUACGGAGGGUGCGAGCGUUAAUCGGAAUUACUGGGCGUAAAGCGCGCGUAGGCGGUCUGAUAAGCCGGUUGUGAAAGCCCCGGGCUCAACCUGGGAACGGCAUCCGGAACUGUCAGGCUAGAGUACAGGAGAGGAAGGUAGAAUUCCCGGUGUAGCGGUGAAAUGCGUAGAGAUCGGGAGGAAUACCAGUGGCGAAGGCGGCCUUCUGGACUGACACUGACGCUGAGGUGCGAAAGCGUGGGUAGCAAACAGGAUUAGAUACCCUAGUAGUC
RNAcentral lists this ribosomal RNA (465 nucleotides) under Vreelandella stevensii. Its description in RNAcentral is "partial 16S ribosomal RNA". It matches the Rfam family "Bacterial small subunit ribosomal RNA", at positions 338 to 795 of the family's 1533-position model. The record is from RNAcentral. Lineage: Bacteria; Pseudomonadati; Pseudomonadota; Gammaproteobacteria; Oceanospirillales; Halomonadaceae.